CUGAUCCAGCAAUGCCGCGUGAGUGAAGAAGGCCUUCGGGUUGUAAAGCUCUUUUGUCAGGGAAGAAACAGCAGCUCUACACAGUCUGCGAAUGACGGUACCUGAAGAAUAAGCACCGGCUAACUACGUGCCAGCAGCCGCGGUAAUACGUAGGGUGCAAGCGUUAAUCGGAAUUACUGGGCGUAAAGCGUGCGCAGGCGGUUAUGUAAGACAGGCGUGAAAUCCCCGGGCUUAACCUGGGAAUUGCGCUUGUGACUGCAUAGCUAGAGUAUGUCAGAGGGGGGUAGAAUUCCACGUGUAGCAGUGAAAUGCGUAGAGAUGUGGAGGAAUACCAAUGGCGAAGGCAGCCCCCUGGGAUAAUACCGACGCUCAUGCACGAAAGCGUGGGGAGCAAACAGGAUUAGAUACCCUGGUAGUCCACGCCCUAAACGAUGCUGACUAGUUGUUCGGGAAUUUAUUCCUGAGUAACGUAGCUAACGCGUGAAGUCAGCCGCCUGGGGAGUACGGUCGCAAGAUUAAAACUCAAAGGAAUUGACGGGGACCCGCACAAGCGGUGGAUGAUGUGGAUUAAUUCGAUGCAACGCGAAAAACCUUACCUACCCUUGACAUGCCACUAACGAAGUAGAGAUACAUUAGGUGCCCGUAAGGGAAAGUGGACACAGGUGCUGCAUGGCUGUCGUCAGCUCGUGUCGUGAGAUGUUGGGUUAAGUCCCGCAACGAGCGCAACCCUUGUCUUUAGUUGCUACGCAAGAGCACUCUAAAGAGACUGCCGGUGACAAACCGGAGGAAGGUGGGGAUGACGUCAAGUCCUCAUGGCCCUUAUGGGUAGGGCUUCACACGUCAUACAAUGGUGCAUACAGAGGGUUGCCAACCCGCGAGGGGGAGCUAAUCUCAGAAAAUGCAUCGUAGUCCGGAUCGUAGUCUGCAACUCGACUACGUGAAGCUGGAAUCGCUAGUAAUCGCGGAUCAGAAUGUCGCGGUGAAUACGUUCCCGGGUCUUGUACACACCGCCCGUCACACCAUGGGAGUGGGUUUUGCCAGAAGCCGUUAGCCUAACCGCAAGGAGGGCGACGACCACGGCAGGGUUCAUGACUGGGGUGAAGUCGUAACAAGGU
RNAcentral lists this ribosomal RNA (1115 nucleotides) under uncultured Polynucleobacter sp. RNAcentral's name for it is "bacterial SSU rRNA". It matches the Rfam family "Bacterial small subunit ribosomal RNA", at positions 383 to 1497 of the family's 1533-position model. Lineage: Bacteria; Pseudomonadati; Pseudomonadota; Betaproteobacteria; Burkholderiales; Burkholderiaceae. The record is from RNAcentral.